AUCCAGCCAUGCCGCGUGUGUGAAGAAGGUCUUCGGAUUGUAAAGCACUUUAAGUUGGGAGGAAGGGCAGUAAAUUAAUACUUUGCUGUUUUGACGUUACCGACAGAAUAAGCACCGGCUAACUUCGUGCCAGCAGCCGCGGUAAUACGAAGGGUGCAAGCGUUAAUCGGAAUUACUGGGCGUAAAGCGCGCGUAGGUGGUUCAGUAAGAUGGAAGUGAAAGCCCCGGGCUCAACCUGGGAACUGCUUUCAUAACUGCUGAGCUAGAGUACGGUAGAGGGUAGUGGAAUUUCCUGUGUAGCGGUGAAAUGCGUAGAUAUAGGAAGGAACACCAGUGGCGAAGGCGACUACCUGGACUGAUACUGACACUGAGGUGCGAAAGCGUGGGGAGCAAACAGGAUUAGAUACCCUG
This 411-nucleotide ribosomal RNA is filed under the name Ectopseudomonas oleovorans. RNAcentral describes it as "bacterial SSU rRNA". It matches the Rfam family "Bacterial small subunit ribosomal RNA", at positions 386 to 789 of the family's 1533-position model. Lineage: Bacteria; Pseudomonadati; Pseudomonadota; Gammaproteobacteria; Pseudomonadales; Pseudomonadaceae. The record is from RNAcentral.